UACACUCCUACGGGAGGCAGCAGUGGGGAAUUUUGGACAAUGGGCGAAAGCCUGAUCCAGCAAUGCCGCGUGAGUGAAGAAGGCCUUCGGGUUGUAAAGCUCUUUUGUCAGGGAAGAAACGGUGAGAGCUAAUAUCUUUUGCUAAUGACGGUACCUGAAGAAUAAGCACCGGCUAACUACGUGCCAGCAGCCGCGGUAAUACGUAGGGUGCAAGCGUUAAUCGGAAUUACUGGGCGUAAAGCGUGCGCAGGCGGUUUUGUAAGUCUGAUGUGAAAUCCCCGGGCUCAACCUGGGAAUUGCAUUGGAGACUGCAAGGCUAGAAUCUGGCAGAGGGGGGUAGAAUUCCACGUGUAGCAGUGAAAUGCGUAGAUAUGUGGAGGAACACCGAUGGCGAAGGCAGCCCCCUGGGUCAAGAUUGACGCUCAUGCACGAAAGCGUGGGGAGCAAACAGGAUUAGAUACCCCAGUAGUCCCA
This 474-nucleotide ribosomal RNA is filed under the name uncultured organism. Its description in RNAcentral is "partial 16S ribosomal RNA". It matches the Rfam family "Bacterial small subunit ribosomal RNA", at positions 332 to 797 of the family's 1533-position model. The record is from RNAcentral.